AUAUUAGAUAUAUGAUAGGUAGUUAAAUAUAACAUUUAGAUAUCUUAUCUAGAUAUAGCUACUGAUAUAUAUGAUUUGUAAACAUUUUCUCAUUUUCUGUAUCUUUUCAUUUUCUUGAUGGUAUCUUUUAUAUUUUGGUAAAGUUUAAUUAACGUUUAUUUUGGCUGCUUGUGUUUUAGGUAACAUGUCUAAGAAAUUAUUGAGUACUCCAAGUUCAUGGAUACUUGCACCUCUUCUAAGAGUUUGAUCAUUUUAGGUAUUACAUCUUGGUAUUUGAUAAUUUUGAGUAAUUUUAGUAUAUAACGAGAGGUAGAAGUCCAUUUUCAGUUGCAUUACUCUCUAGUGUCCUUUUUUUUUCUUGGCUGUGCACAUAACAUGUGGAAGUUCUGGAGCCAGGGAUCAAAUUUGCACCACACCAGUGCUACAGCAACAGCAGUGACAACCUCAGAUCCUUAACCCACUGUGUCACAAGGGAACUCCUAGUGUCCUUUCAUUUCAGUGUGGACUUUAAAAUUUCUUGUUGUGCUGAUCUGAUAGUUUAAAAAAAUCUUAGUUUUCACAUAUUUUGUAAUUUUCAAUUUUUUAUUCAGGUUUAAAUCAUUACUUUUCUGGAUGCAUAAUUCUUGACAGGUUUUUUUAUUUUUCUGCAGCACUUUCAAUUCAGUGUGUCUUCUCAUUGCCUUCAGGUAUCCAUGGUUUUUGAUGAGAGAUUAGCUGUUAAUCUCACUGAGGAUCUGUGUACAUGUCUUGUCUUUCUUCAAGAUUCCCUGAUUGUUUUUGGCUUUUGACAUGAUGGUUCUCUGGGUUUUUCUUACUAGAAACGUUUUGGUUUCUGUUUAAUGGUUUCAUGUUUUUAUUAAGUUUUAGGGACUUUAGUGACAUUAUUUCUUCAAAUAUUCUUGUUUCUUCUUUUUCCCUUCCUUUCCUCUGGUACUCCCAUUAUACAUGUAUUGGCAUGCUUGAUUGUCUCAUAGGUCUUUCAGAGUCAGUUCAUUUUUCUUUGUUCUUUUUUGUUUCUCGUCAUCAGUCCAGAUAAUCUAAUCUGACCUAUCUUCAAGUUUGCUGAUUUUUUCUUCUCUGAAUUUAAGACUCUUUUUAGCUCCCUACCCAGUGACUAUUUCAUUUUAAUUAGCUUAUUUUUAACUCCAAAAUUUCUAUGUGAUUCCUUUUUUUUUCUAAUUUUUAGUUCUGUACUGAUAUUUUUGUGAAACAUUGCCAUUAUACUGUCUUUUAUUUCUUUAGACAUGGCUUCCUUUACUUUUUGAAAGUAAAGUAGUUAAUUUAUAUUCUUUGUCUAGUAAAUACAAUGUCCAGGCUUCCUCAGGGACAAUUUCUCAUAAUUACUUUUUUCUUGCUGCAUAAUGAAUGUAUCUUUUUUGUUUCUGUUCAAUAUUUAAUUUUUAGCUGAGGAAAUAUACAUUUUAAAUAAUAUAAUGUGGCAACUCUGGAAUUUAAACCCCUAGUUAACCCCUGCUGCCAGAGUUUUUUGUUUUUGCUGGUUUUCCAGUGACUUUUCUGAGUUAAUUCUGUAAAGUCUGCAUUCUUUAUCCAUUGCAGCCACUGGAGUCUGUAAUCAUUUAGCUUAAUAGUCAGCUAAAGUUUGGAGAAAGAGAUUUAAUAAAACACCUGGAACCAGUAAUUGUCUCUCUUUGCCAAGAGUGACUCUUAUGUGUACUGAGGCAUGUCUUCAACAUAGUUAAAGUAUCCACCUUAGCCUUCAGUUGCUUGAACAUAGCCUCAAGGUCAUUCAGAGGUGAAGCUUUAGGGCCUUCUCAGGUCUUUCCUGAGCAUGUGCAGAAUUCUUGGCAUGUAUACAAGCCUAUGACACACAUGGUUUUCUAGAUUCCCAAGAAUUUGUUAUAACUUUUCAAAGACCCUGUGGACAUAUCAUUCUAUAAUUUUUCCCUUUUAAGAUUUUUGGUUAAUAUUUUACUUGCCCCAAUUCCUGUCCACUACACCAGGGAGCUGCAAAGUUAAAUAAUUACAUAUAAUUUUUUCCACACAUACCCCAGGGGAAAGGCUUUUAGCAUUGGGUGAGCUCAGAGUAAGGUUAAAUAAUGACAGUUUUGCAAGUGAGGUCUUCUAGAGAAUUACUGGCUGGGUCAAAUACUGACAUUUCUCUGGAAAUGGAACUUUGGAGGAGCCCUAACACUGUUCUGCUAACUCUGCUAGCUGCCACACUGUUAGCUUUCAUUGUGAUUUCAAACUGGUAGUUUUUAAGGCUACCACAAAGAUGAAGAGUUGGGAUUGUGACCAGGAUAGGUUCAGAUGUCACAAAGCCCACUGUUCUUACUGAGAUUAAUCUGUUUUUCUUGAAUAAACAGUCCUGGAACUACUGCAAGUUUUGGCUGAUUUCUGGAGUUCUGAAAAUAUUGAUUCUGACAUUUUUUAAAAAUAGAUUUCUAAUUAGUUAUUUGUAGAAGAGAAUUUUGGAGCCUCUUGCUCUACUGUUUUCACUAUUGUCAUCUGAUUCUCUUGAGAACAUAUUUACUUGAAAAUUAACUUUAUUUCUCUCUUUAUGAUGCAGUAACAGGUUUUGAUUAUGCUUUGUGUCAAACUGGUUUUCAGCAAGAGGGACCAUGCACAAAUAGGACCCAGAUCAAUGUUAACUAUCAUCAUUCCUGACAGUGUAAUUGGUUUAACAAUUUUUACAGCAGGGCUCCAUCAGCAUUAUGAGAUAAAAACAAUCAAAGUAAAUGUCUAUGAAACAUGAGCAUAGUCUCAUAAUAACUUAUAAUUGGAUAUAACAUAUAAAUAAUUCAGAAAAUCAACAUUAAUUAGGAAAGUAUGGGCCCUAAGACAUUGUUACAAACCAGACUGUACACUGCUGUACAUACACUGAAGUAUGAUAAGAAUGCAUUUAUCAUCUUACUUUAAAGUGUGACAUAUUUGCUACCUUUGUGGUCUUGGAAGUAGUUCAAAUGUAAAAUCGUUUUUUUUAAAGAUAUGGAUUGCAGUUCCCAUUGUGGCUCAGUGGUAAUGAACCCAACUAGUAUCCAUGAGGACACGGGUUUGAUCCCUGGCUCCACUCAUGGGUUAAGGGUCUGGUGUUGCUGUGAGCUGCAGUAUAGGUCAAAGAUGUGGCUCCAUCCAGAGUUGCUAUUGCUGUGGCUGUGGCAAAGGCCUGCAGCCACAGCUCUGAUUGGACCCCUAGCCUGGGAACCGCCACGUGCCAUGGGUACAGCCCUGAAAAGACAAAAAAAAAAACAUAAAGCAAAAGAUAGGGGUUGAGUUCUAUAGAUAAUGAUUGCUCUAUAUUUAGUAAUUAAAAUUUCUCACUUGGUAAAUAGAAGUUUGGUAUCUUUAGAUAGUAUCAAGAAAAUCAAAACUGGUGGUCUAGAAAGUUUAUUUUUAUUUAUUUAUUUAUUUGUCUUUUCUGGGGCCAUACCCAUGGCAUAUGGGGUUCGCAGGCUAGGGGUCUAAUCAAUGCAGGAUCCAUGUUGAGUCUGUGACCUACACCACAGCUCAUGGCAAUGCCAGCUCCUUAACCCAUGAGUGAGGCCCGGGAUCGAACCCCAACCUCAUGAUUCCUAGUCAGAUUUGUUAACCACUGCGCCAUGAUGGGAACUCUGAGAAAAUAUAUUUAAAGAAAACAUGAAGUAGCUGCCUAGAAAAUUUAGGAGUAGAGCUGAAAUUUGGAGUAAUUCAAAAGAGAAAAUUGCUUUUAUGAAGUGCUUAUUGUAGCAUAUCUAAUAAACAUGUUUUUUGCACUACAAGGUAAACUUAAGUUUAAAUGGCUCAGUUAAAAUUUUCCACCAUGUGAUUCAUUGUGGAAUGUCUAGAAAAGAAUCAUACUGUUGUGAAAAUUUCAGUAGUUCUGUAUUCAAAAAUGGUAUGUCAAUUUUGAGAUUGAAGUUAUACAAAGUGCUUAAGCUUCAUCCUAGGAUUGUGGCU
This 3894-nucleotide long non-coding RNA is filed under the name Sus scrofa (pig). RNAcentral's name for it is "lncRNA (ENSSSCG00000053102.1)". The record is from RNAcentral. Lineage: Eukaryota; Metazoa; Chordata; Mammalia; Artiodactyla; Suidae.